Molecule: long non-coding RNA, 1185 nt
Organism: Eriocheir sinensis (Chinese mitten crab)
Lineage: Eukaryota; Metazoa; Arthropoda; Malacostraca; Decapoda; Varunidae
Exons: 2
Source: RefSeq, a predicted model, not a curated record
UCAAUCAGAGAAAGAAAAUAUAAUUAAAAUGAAAAAUUGGAAGUAAGAAAGAAAAGGGAAAAGGAUGCUGCGCCGGAAGCCGCGGCGAGGAUUCCUUAUGAUGCUUGUGCGCGUCCCCGAGGCCCAUCGGUUCUUCAUCCAAGAACCGAUAAACGCGGUGACCGGCGCCUUCGCGGCAUUUAUGAUUAAUUUUAUAAUCCAGUCUGGUAGUUUUAAGAAGCGAGUUCUUGCAUCCGCCCUCUUCGAAUCGGCGGGGCGGUGGAGCGCCAGCGAGCCCAAGGUCUCCCAGGCGAGCAUGGCAGGACUGGAGGGCUCCCGGCAGGGCGCCUCGGCGUCCAUCGGGAUCCCGACGGAGGUGCCGGAGAUCUUUCGGCUACAACGCCGGGCAGGUGGGGCUCGUUAGCCGUGGUGGGCAGUUCACCUAGGAGAGCAAACUCCGAACAACAAACCAGGGCAGGUGAGGUUCGUUAGCCGUGGUAGGCAAUUCACCUAGGAGAGCAAACUCCGAACAACAAACCAGGGCAGGUGAGGUUCGUUAGCCGUGGUAGGCAAUUCACCUAGGAGAGCAAACUCCGAACAACAAACCAGGGCAGGUGAGGUUCGUUAGCCGUGGUAGGCAAUUCACCUAGGAGAGCAAACUCCGAACAAUAAACCCGGGCAGGUGGAGCUCGUCAGCCGUGGUAGGCAGUCUGCCUAGGAGAGCAAACUCCGAACAAUAAACCCGGGCAGGUGGAGCUCGUCAGCCGUGGUAGGCAGUCUGCCUAGGAGAGCAAACUCCGAACAAUAAACCCGGGCAGGUGGAGCUCGUCAGCCGUGGUAGGCAGUCUGCCUAGGAGAGCAAACUCCGAACAAUAAACCGGGGCUUGUGGUGCUCGUUAGAUGUCGUAGACAAUCCACGUGAUGGGAACACCAAAGAAAAGGAAAAUAAAAAGGAACACCAGAAAAAUGAAAAUAUAGUAACAAAACAUCAAUAAAAUAAAAUAAAAAACACAGAUCAUCCACCUUCAGGCCCUAACGUACAUCUCCAAAAUUACGGGUGAGUCUUUUCUGGGGAGAAAGAGGCUCAUCCAGACCAAAGAACAUAAAAAAGGGAUGAUAUAGAAAGGAACACCAAAAAAUGGGAAAAAGAGAAAAAAAACAUCGCAAAAGAAAAGUAACAACAAUAACAGAACAACGCCAAGAAAA